UAGCAUGAAGUCAAACAG
This 18-nucleotide ribosomal RNA is filed under the name uncultured Symbiodinium. Its description in RNAcentral is "partial 28S ribosomal RNA". The record is from RNAcentral. Lineage: Eukaryota; Dinophyceae; Suessiales; Symbiodiniaceae.